GAUGAACGCUAGCGGCAGGCCUAACACAUGCAAGUCGAGGGGUAACUAGAGUGAUAGCAAUAUUACUUUGGCUAGACCGGCGCACGGGUGCGUAACACGUAUGCAACCUACCUUAUACUGGGGAAUAACUUCGAGAAAUCGGCGCUAAUACCCCAUAACAUUGCGAAGAGGCAUCUCUUUGCAAUUAAAGCUCCGGCGGUAUAAGAUGGGCAUGCGUCCAAUUAGCUAGUUGGUGAGGUAACGGCUCACCAAGGCUACGAUUGGUAGGGGUUCUGCGAGGAUGAUCCCCCACACUGGUACUGAGACACGGACCAGACUCCUACGGGAGGCAGCAGUGAGGAAUAUUGCGCUAUGGACGAAAGUCUGACGCAGCCAUGCCGCGUGCAGGAUGACGGCCCUAUGGGUUGUAAACUGCUUUUGUACGGGAAUAAACCCUUCUACGUGUAGGAGGCUGAAGGUACCGUAAGAAUAAGCACCGGCUAACUCCGUGCCAGCCGCCGCUGUAA
Molecule: ribosomal RNA, 506 nt
Filed under: uncultured bacterium
Lineage: Bacteria
Description: partial 16S ribosomal RNA
Rfam family: Bacterial small subunit ribosomal RNA
Source: RNAcentral